RNAcentral lists this long non-coding RNA (702 nucleotides) under Mytilus galloprovincialis (Mediterranean mussel). The record is from RNAcentral. Lineage: Eukaryota; Metazoa; Mollusca; Bivalvia; Mytilida; Mytilidae.
AUAUAUCACGUGGUUAAUUUCCUUAGAUGGUCACAUGAUUUACAUUUCCUAAUAUGGUAUACAGAAAUAUCACAUGCAAUCCUUAUAUGGUUUAACUUCCUAAUAUGGUCGUCAUGCUAACCGUUCGACUACUUUUUCACUUGUAAAAUCUAAUCAAACACAAUGUACUUACAUACGAUGAACAUUCUUCCUCAUUCAGCACUAUAAUUUUCCCUUGCACUGUGUUACAUAGCUCUUUACUAGAUAAUGAUAGUUCGAAAACACAAGAGGCUUUCAUGCGCACAUUUUCAAUCUGAUCACUUUUCAUUAUAUGGUUCAUCAACACUCUGUUGAUAGAAGGAUCUAUCUCUCCACUAAAGAAUUUAAUGGCAUCAUCUCGACAAUCUAAUAUGUCUUCACUCCUAUAACAUGUAUAACAUUCAGCUGUAUUUGUUGCAACACUUCCCUCAUGGCUAAAUGACAAUAAACAACUCACGACAACAAUCAAAAACAUGGCGAUCAUCUUCAAUUUCUAUAGAGUGUGAAAAGGUGACGACACGUGAGUGAAUAAAGGAAAGCUUUUUAUUAUUUUUACCUGAUUAAAAGAACGAUUUUGUUUUAAAGAAAAAAAGAAUUUCAUCAUAUUUUGUUUUGUUUUCUUAUCACUUAUUUAAAUUUUAUUUAUUACUUAAAAACGAAUACUUUAUUACAAUUGAAUAUAUG